This 496-nucleotide ribosomal RNA is filed under the name uncultured bacterium. Its description in RNAcentral is "partial 16S ribosomal RNA". It matches the Rfam family "Bacterial small subunit ribosomal RNA", at positions 29 to 507 of the family's 1533-position model. The record is from RNAcentral.
AUGAACGCUGGCGGCGUGCCUAAUACAUACAAGUCGAGCGAACAGAUAAGGAGCUUGCUCCUUUGACGUUAGCGGCGGACGGGUGAGUAACCCGUGGGUAACCUACCUAUAAGACUGGAAUAACUCCGGGAAACCGGGGCUAAUGCCGGAUAACAUUUAGAACCGCAUGGUUCUAAAGUGAAAGAUGGUUUUGCUAUCACUUAUAGAUGGACCCGCGCCGUAUUAGCUAGUUGGUAAGGUAACGGCUUACCAAGGCAACGAUACGUAGCCGACCUGAGAGGGUGAUCGGCCACACUGGAACUGAGACACGGUCCAGACUCCUACGGGAGGCAGCAGUAGGGAAUCUUCCGCAAAGGGCGAAAGCCUGACGGAGCAACGCCGCGUGAGUGAUGAAGGUCUUCGGAUCGUAAAACUCUGUUAUUAGGGAAGAACAAAUGUGUAAGUAACUGUGCACGUCUUGACGGUACCUAAUCAGAAAGCCACGGCUAACUACGUG